RNAcentral lists this ribosomal RNA (380 nucleotides) under uncultured eukaryote. RNAcentral describes it as "partial 18S ribosomal RNA". It matches the Rfam family "Eukaryotic small subunit ribosomal RNA", at positions 592 to 976 of the family's 1831-position model. The record is from RNAcentral.
CAAUAGCGUAUAUUAAAGUUGUUGCAGUUAAAAAGCUCGUAGUUGGAUUUGUGGCGUACGGUGUGUUCCGGGCACUUGUUGUCUGAGUAACCUGCUGUUGCCAUCCUUGGGUGGAACCUGUGUGGCAUUAGGUUGUCGUGCAGGGGAUGCCCAUCAUUUACUGUGAAAAAAUUAGAGUGUUCAAAGCAGGCUUAUGCCGUUGAAUAUAUUAGCAUGGAAUAAUGAGAUAGGACUUUUUUGCUAUUUUGUUGGUUUGCGCAAAGAGGUAAUGAUCAAUAGGGACAGUUGGGGGUAUUCGUAUUCCAUUGUCAGAGGUGAAAUUCUUGGAUUUUUGGAAGACGAACUACUGCGAAAGCAUUUACCAAGGAUGUUUUCAUUAA